UCGUAUGCUGGAACGCUGGGUAAGAUCGAGGGCUCUCUCUUUGCAGAUGAAUCAGGAGGCCUUUGAUGAAACCGUCUUGGAUCAUCGGGGAAGUUCGGAGGAGUGGCUGAUGAACGGAAGAGACAGAUGGAAGGUGCUGCUACACUCAUCACCUGUAGUAAUCCACCUGAGAGAGAGAGUUAUUUGAAACCUCAGUCUCGGCCUUCAGGAAACUUAGCUCGAGGAGAAACCUUCACCUCCAAAACAGCCCAUGAAUUAUUCAGUCCUGAUAUACAAACCCUUCAGACGGAUUUACGCAACUACCAACGCUCUUGGACGCUUUCCAACCUCCUCAGAGUUCUGAUGUGACGACGAACAGAAGUUUUCCUGAAUUUGAUCAGGUCUGAAAGAGUAAAUGAUAAAGUCUGGUCAUUUACCUGUGUCCAUCAGCGACGGUCAGAGUUCAUCAGGAAGCAGAAUAAUCCUUUGGGAAAAAUCCAGCGGGAGUGUGUUGAUGUUCAGGAUCUGUUGGGGAUGUUGUUUACUGAAUCACACCAGCGUGAAGAGACUCGUGCAACAGAUGGAGUUCCCAUUGACACGCAUUAUACGACUGACAGACCAUGAC
This is a long non-coding RNA of Megalobrama amblycephala (Wuchang bream), 604 nucleotides long. RefSeq lists it as uncharacterized. The transcript is spliced from 5 exons. NCBI's taxonomy places the organism in Eukaryota, Metazoa, Chordata, Actinopteri, Cypriniformes, Xenocyprididae. The record is from RefSeq and is a predicted model, not a curated record.